RNAcentral lists this unclassified non-coding RNA (270 nucleotides) under uncultured fungus. RNAcentral's name for it is "partial contains small subunit ribosomal RNA, internal transcribed spacer 1, and 5.8S ribosomal RNA". The stretch from base 1 to 73 matches the Rfam family "Eukaryotic small subunit ribosomal RNA", at positions 1759 to 1831 of the family's 1831-position model. Lineage: Eukaryota; Fungi. The record is from RNAcentral.
GCAAACUUGGUCAUUUAGAGGAAGUAAAAGUCGUAACAAGGUCUCCGUAGGUGAACCUGCGGAGGGAUCAUUACAGAGUAAGGGCCUUCGGGUCCGACCUCCAACCCUUUGUUAGCAAAACCAUGUUGCCUCGGGGGUGACCCUGCCUUCGGGCUCGCGUCCCCCCGGUGGACCACUAAACACUGCAUCUAUUGCGUCAGAGUAGAUUUUUAAUAAAUCAAAACUUUCAACAACGGAUCUCUUGGUUCUGGCAUCGAUGAAGAACGCAGC